CUGGGAGGAAAAUAUGAAAUUUAUCUGUCUGUAGGAGACAAGAACCAUCAAAUUAUCAGGCUCACUGCCAAAGAUCAAUUCAGAACUCUGAGAAGUGUGAUGAGGGUAGUCUACGGAAAUCCUCAACCACAUCCAAUUAUAGAAGGAUCAUAUGAAGAAAAUAUUUAUUUUAAUAUAGCUGACAGGUUCACAGAUAACAAGAAGCUGGUAGGUCAUCUAAUCUGACUGCUGCGAUAGCACAGACUACAAGAUUUCAUCACUGAACACAGCAAUCUGAAGAAAAAUGCCUUCCAGAAUGCAAUCCAGCCUUGAUUUAUAGGAAUCAAAAAAUCUGCUGCUCUCUGGAGGCAUUUUGGAAAAGAGUUUCAUUUUCUCUGUAAUUUGCCUGCAUGAUAUUUUAAUUUGGACACAUUUAUCAACUUUAUAUGUAACAUAUACCUUCUGGGAUAAUGUUUCUGUAUUUUUUUCCUAUAAAUAAGACAUUACAAUUGGAACAAAAUACUUCUAUAGCUUAUUAAUACUGAGUGGGAUAUGCUCUGCGUGGUAAACAGCAGAACUCUUUCUUUGCAUUCUAGUUUUCCAGGUAUACAACGCAUGCAAAAUGUAACAGUUUUCUUGUAAGGUACAACCAUAUGUCCACUGUUUGAGAUAUUUGAGUAGGCAUCUUUUCUGAUUUGUCUGUUUUUUGGAUUACAGCACACUAAUGACAUUAUUUUGCAAGCUGUCUAAUUUAUUUAUUUCUCUGGUAAAAAAUUACUGAUUCUUUGCAUAGGCUUGUGAAAAAUAAAUUUUCAUUGUUUACUGGAAGUUCA
Molecule: long non-coding RNA, 812 nt
Filed under: Numida meleagris (helmeted guineafowl)
Lineage: Eukaryota; Metazoa; Chordata; Aves; Galliformes; Numididae
Description: lncRNA (ENSNMEG00000019123.1)
Source: RNAcentral